Molecule: ribosomal RNA, 433 nt
Filed under: uncultured bacterium
Lineage: Bacteria
Description: partial 16S ribosomal RNA
Rfam family: Bacterial small subunit ribosomal RNA
Source: RNAcentral
AGCGAACGCUGGCGGCAGGCCUAACACAUGCAAGUCGAACGAACUCUUCGGAGUUAGUGGCGGACGGGUGAGUAACACGUGGGAACGUGCCUUUUGGUUCGGAAUAACUCAGGGAAACUUGUGCUAAUACCGAAUGUGCCCUUCGGGGGAAAGAUUUAUCGCCAUUAGAGCGGCCCGCGUCCGAUUAGCUAGUUGGUGAGGUAACGGCUCACCAAGGCGACGAUCAGUAGCUGGUCUGAGAGGAUGACCAGCCACACUGGGACUGAGACACGGCCCAGACUCCUACGGGAAGCAGCAGUGGGGAAUCUUGCGCAAUGGGCGAAAGCCUGACGCAGCCAUGCCGCGUGAAUGAUGAAGGUCUUAGGAUUGUAAAAUUCUUUCACCGGGGACGAUAAUGACGGUACCCGGAGAAGAAGCCCCGGCUAGCUUCGUG